Molecule: RNA transcript, 2187 nt
Organism: Salvia hispanica
Lineage: Eukaryota; Viridiplantae; Streptophyta; Magnoliopsida; Lamiales; Lamiaceae
Gene: GR
Gene name: glutathione reductase
Source: RefSeq, a predicted model, not a curated record
AGUUUGUGGUUAAAAGACGAAACUCGAUUUGAGUCACUCAACUCAGCACAAAGAAAUGGCGGCGACGAGAGUCAUGGCAUCGGCGGGUAACGCCGUCUCCACGCCUCAAAGCCUCAAUCUCUGCUUCAGAAACGGCAGGUUGCUCUCGCAGAAAAAACGCCUCUUCUUCGUCCACGAUUCUGGCAAAAAGCUGAUGCUAAGCGUUGUACCUUCCUUCCCUUGUGCACACCGGAGCCGCCGCUUUACCACUGCGGUCCGGGCAGAGUCCACCAAUGGCUCUGAGCCAUCUGCACCAUACGACUUCGACCUCUUCACUAUCGGUGCUGGCAGCGGAGGUGUUAGAGCCUCUCGCUUCGCAGCCAAUUUUGGAGCUAAAGUUGCGGUUUGCGAGCUGCCGUUUGCUACCAUAUCAUCCGACUCUGCUGGAGGCGUUGGUGGCACGUGCGUGCUCCGUGGAUGUGUUCCUAAGAAACUCCUUGUAUAUGCAUCCAAAUUUUCUCAUGAAUUUGAAGAGAGUGGUGGAUUUGGAUGGAGUUAUGAGGCAGAACCUAAACAUGAUUGGAGCACCUUGAUUGCAAAUAAGAAUGCUGAACUUCAGCGCCUUGUCGGGAUUUACAAAAACAUAUUGAAAAAUUCUGGAGUCAUGCUACUCGAAGGACGUGGCAAGAUUGUGGAUCCACAUACAGUGGACGUAGAUGGAAAACUCUAUUCAGCAAAGAACAUUCUUAUUGCAGUUGGAGGGCGCCCAUUCAUUCCUGAUAUUCCUGGAAGUGAAUAUGCAAUAGAUUCUGAUGCUGCCCUUGAUUUACCUUCAAAGCCUAAGAAAAUUGCUAUAGUUGGGGGUGGUUAUAUCGCAGUUGAGUUUGCUGGUAUCUUCAAUGGAUUUAAGAGCGAUGUCCAUGUAUUCAUAAGACAGAAAAAGUUGUUGAGAGGAUUUGAUGAAGAGGUCAGAGACUUUCUUGGCGAACAAAUGUCAUUAAGGGGUAUUAAUAUCCACUCUGAGGAGACACCUCAAGCUAUAGUUAAGUCAUCAGAUGGGUUACUGUCUGUGAAAACAAACCAAGGAACAGUUGAUGGGUUUACUCAUGUCAUGUUUGCAACAGGACGAAAACCAAAUACGAAGAAUUUAGGUUUAGAAGCUGUCGGAGUGAAUUUGUCAAAAAAUGGAGCUAUAGAGGUUGAUGAAUUCUCUCGAACUUCUGUUCCAUCAAUUUGGGCGGUAGGAGAUGUUACUGACAGAAUAAAUUUGACCCCAGUUGCCUUAAUGGAAGGAGGAGCACUAGCAAAAACUCUAUUUGCAAAUGAACCCACAAAACCUGAUCACAGUGCUGUGCCAUGCGCGGUCUUUUCUCAGCCUCCUAUCGGGCAAGUUGGUCUUACUGAAGAUCAGGCAGUGAAGGAAUAUGGUGAUAUUGAUAUUUAUACAUCAAAUUUCAGGCCUCUAAAGGCCACCCUUUCUGGCCUGCCGGAUCGGGUCUUCAUGAAACUUAUUGUAUGUGCGAAAACUAACAAAGUCAUCGGUCUGCAUAUGUGUGGUGAAGAAUCAGCAGAAAUUGUCCAGGGAUUUUCUGUUGCUGUGAAAGCUGGGUUGACUAAGGCUGAUUUUGAUGCAACAAUUGGUAUCCACCCAACUGCAGCAGAGGAAUUUGUCACCAUGAGAACACCUACGCGGAAGAUCAGAAGUGCUCCAUCUGAGGGAAAAUCAGAUUCUGAUGCCAAAGCUGUUGCUGGUGUUUAAUUCGAGUUUAUGCAACGAAAAACUGCUGCAUCGAAGGAUAUACAUGUAUGGGGCCCGAUGAGGCGAUGAAUCUGGACCUAGCAAGAUCCGGGCCAUUGCCAUCCUCGAGUCUCACUUUCAGAGAUUAUUAGCUGCUUGAGAUUUUAACUUGUCUACGAUUUCGUGUUGGCAGUAAUCCACACCGGGCCAGUCGAGUGACCUCAGUCGUUGCCCUUCUCCGGACAGCUGUGCAAAGCUAGAAUGAGUAUAUUGCAUAUGCAGUUGAUGAAAGAGACGAAGCAAAAGCGGCUGUAAAAAAAUGUGUUUCUUCUGUUCACCUUCUUGCAUAGAUGCGAUUUCUCAUUGGUUUUGUUUAGUAUGUUUAUUUAAUAUUUAUGGGUUUGUUUGAUAGAAUCUUAUUAUAAGAGUUUGAGACUUUUCGAUGCCAAAAAUCAACUUUGCUUCCGUAA